GAGUUUGAUCAUGGCUCAGAUUGAACGCUGGCGGCAUGCCUUACACAUGCAAGUCGAACGGCAGCACGGGAGCUUGCUCCUGGUGGCGAGUGGCGAACGGGUGAGUAAUGCAUCGGAACGUAUCCUGGAGUGGGGGAUAACGUAGCGAAAGUUACGCGAAUACCGCAUAUUCUGUGAGCAGGAAAGCGGGGGACCUUCGGGCCUCGCGCUCUUGGAGCGGCCGAUGUCGGAUUAGCUAGUUGGUGAGGUAAAGGCUCACCAAGGCGACGAUCCGUAGCAGGUCUGAGAGGAUGAUCUGCCACACUGGAACUGAGACACGGUCCAGACUCCUACGGGAGGCAGCAGUGGGGAAUUUUGGACAAUGGGGGCAACCCUGAUCCAGCCAUGCCGCGUGAGUGAA
RNAcentral lists this ribosomal RNA (400 nucleotides) under bacterium enrichment culture clone ALO1_GLFRUDD03GDP34. RNAcentral's name for it is "bacterial SSU rRNA". It matches the Rfam family "Bacterial small subunit ribosomal RNA", at positions 9 to 409 of the family's 1533-position model. The record is from RNAcentral.